RNAcentral lists this ribosomal RNA (253 nucleotides) under uncultured bacterium. RNAcentral's name for it is "partial 16S ribosomal RNA". It matches the Rfam family "Bacterial small subunit ribosomal RNA", at positions 524 to 776 of the family's 1533-position model. The record is from RNAcentral.
UACGUAGGGGGCAAGCGUUGUCCGGAUUUAUUGGGCGUAAAGAGCGUGUAGGCGGCCAGACAGGUCCGUUGUGAAAACUCGAGGCUCAACCUUGAGACGCCGAUGGAAACCGUCUGGCUAGAGUCCGGAAGAGGAGAGUGGAAUUCCUGGUGUAGCGGUGAAAUGCGCAGAUAUCAGGAAGAACACCCGUGGCUAAGGCGGCUCUCUAGUACGGUACUGACGCUGAGACGCGAAAGCGUGGGGAGCGAACAGG